Molecule: non-coding RNA, 180 nt
Filed under: Sediminispirochaeta sp.
Lineage: Bacteria; Pseudomonadati; Spirochaetota; Spirochaetia; Spirochaetales; Spirochaetaceae
Description: 6S RNA
Rfam family: 6S / SsrS RNA
About the family: E. coli 6S RNA was the first non coding RNA to be sequenced, but its function was unknown until recently.
Source: RNAcentral
AGUUACCUGCAGUGUUCGGGAGGGGAACAAAUCUCUUGGGUCAAACUAUAGAAAAGGGAUUCCUAAAUAUCGGGGUUGAGUUGCAUGGCUGAUAGCCGGUCAUACAGGAUUCUCCGGUGCGGAAACCCACUUGAACCUUAGAGUUCAAGAGAUAACCCCGAGCGGCACUGCGGGUUUUUC